GAUGAAGAACGCAGCGAAAUGCGAUAAGUAAUGUGAAUUGCAGAAUUCAGUGAAUCAUCGAAUCUUUGAACGCACAUUGCGCCCGCCAGUAUUCUGGCGGGCAUGCCUGUUCGAGCGUCAUUUCAACCAUCAAGCCCCAGGCUUGUGUUGGGGACCUGCGGCUGCCGCAGGCCCUGAAAACCAGUGGCGGGCUCGCUGUCACACCGGGCGUAGUAGAUUUUAUCUCGCUCAGGGCGUGCUGCGGGUUCUGGCCGUUAAAAAGCCUUUUUUACCCAAGGUUGACCUCGGAUCAGGUAGGAAUACCCGCUGAACUUAAGCAUAUCAAUAAGCGGAGGA
Molecule: unclassified non-coding RNA, 336 nt
Filed under: soil metagenome
Description: partial contains 5.8S ribosomal RNA, internal transcribed spacer 2, and large subunit ribosomal RNA
Rfam family: 5.8S ribosomal RNA (bases 1-120)
Source: RNAcentral